GGUCUCGUAGCCGCUGAAGUCAUAACAGGUAUCGAGUACUCGCGUAGGAGGCGCAGCAGGGUACUGGGACAUGUAGCUCCGGAACGCAGACCUCAGGGCUCCGUAGGCCGACGCCGGGAGGCGAGUGAUGGUAGUGCCGGAGUCGAUGAUCGUGCCACGGGACGAGAAAACCGAUGGCGAAAUGGCCAGUUGCUGCCCACCGACGCUGAUUCCGAUCAGGUCAACGAAGUAAAAGCUUGGAUGAUUGGAGCUGGUCUGCAUUCGAGUGUAAACGGUGUUGGAGGCAUCACCAGGUUCGCCCAGUUUCAGGAACCCGGUGGAGCUGGGAGUCGAAGGAAGGCAGUAGGAGAAGACCGAGUGGUAAACUUGCGACGUUUGGGACACCAGAGAGCGCUUGCCGCGGCCGAGACCCACGAGCCCUGCGGUGUCUUGGAACAGCCCUUCGUUGUCGGUGCCGCACCCGAAGAGGAAGUCCUCGAUCACGUCGUUUGGCGACAGCGUCAGUCUGUCGUAGCUGUAGACUCCUGAAGUGGUCGACCCAUCGCCGUAGGUGAUGCCAUAAGCGCAAGAGCUGGAGCAGCUGCUUCGGAGCUGACUGCAGUCCUGCGAGUUGCAAGGGAUCGCGGUGUAGGAGGAUGAUUGGGAUGGGUCAAAGAUCGGCUCCUGCUGCGAGUAGCACGCGGAGCAUGGUUUGCAUUGGAUCCAACUCAGGUCGCUCCCGGUGUCCAUCGUCACAGUCUGCUCUCGGCUGGGGGUGCCAUAGCCGACUGUGAUCACGUACUCCCCUCCUCCGUACUCCGCGGGGAUGCUUGCCUUGGAAUCAUCGACCUGUGGCUUGGCGGAAGACUUCAAGGCACUUCGCCGGAGAUAGUUGACUCUAAGUUGGUCUUUCAGAAGAAUCUCUUCUAGCGAUAGCAGUUUCUUGUCGUCGAAGGGGGAGCAGGGUCCAUGCCGAUGCACCAACGGGAAGGCGGUGAAGUUAGAUCCUGAGAAAGGCGAAACUAUCUUUUAAGGAAACUGUAUCAAAUGGUUUCAGCAAUUCAUGGGUAGCGGAGUAUGAGAUCUGCAGCCCAAAGAAAAGAUUGAUGCAAGAGAGCAACUGAGGUAUGACUGACCCUUGGACGAGGAGCAGACAACUUCGGGACUAGAAUUAUGAUUUCGAACCACGUGGUAGCUCUGAGCGUCUUCUCCGUUAGCAAGGGAAGAACAGUGACUCAGGAACAGAACAGAAGAGCAGAUUAAGAGAGCAGCCGAAGCCAUUUGCUGGGAAGAGACAAGCCCUGGGCGAAGGAUUGCAAUGGCAAUGCAUCCAAUUUAUAGAGACUUCAAAACCACUUUCUUUGUUCCACCAGAUUGGCCUCUGAUUUGAGUCAAGUAUGUCGACUAGUCGUUGACUUCAUAUUGACUGGCAUCGUCAAGUUCUUCCACACAAUCACGGAGCAAUUUAGGCUUAGUUUCGCAUUCCCACUGCAAAAUCCACGAAAUAAUUUGGUUUACGUCACAACGAUGAGAUCUAAAGGAAGACUUCGAACAGUUCAAAGUCGAAUAAUUAGAGCCACAACUCGAGUGCAAGACCGGAGAGAAGACUUUCAACAGUUCAACAUCUUGGUGUGAUUUCUUCACCGACCAAUCCUGACCGGCUCAUAAAUCGUCAACUAAUAACAACAACAACUAAAUGCUUCCUUAUGGCUGUUCUACGAGUCACCCAGGCGAGUGGAUCGGGAGCUAUUCGAGAGGGAAUUACACGGUAUACUUCCAUGUCCGCACGAACCAAAGUGCGCAAGAACAUGGACUCGUACUUCUGAAACCUGCAAUGAUAGAUCGAUAGCUCCGAUACUGUAUGUGAUGAACGGAUUGCACUAUGAGAAUAACUUCAGCUGGUCUGGUGUUGAAUCAAUGGUUGACAGCAGCAGAGGCUAAUCAAAAGAAGAAGACGAAGAGGAGGUACAGGCAGGGUAGGUGGCCGUGAAAGAGACACACUCCCAAAUGAUUGCGAAGGACAAGCUACUCCAAGUGACAUUAAAGAACUCGGCAACCAUGGCGUUUUCCAAUUAAUCAUGGACCAAUUUAGCUUUAUUUGGAGAGUAAAAUAGGAUGGAAAGUUAUCAGACUUGUAGAUCUUUAUGCAGACUAGAUGAGUUUAUUAUUAGUAACAUAUAUUUUCUACUCAUAUUAAGAUCUAUCAAAGUUGCAGAUGAUGUGAUUUAUAAGGAAAACAAUAUCACAACAGUUAUCCCUUUUAUUAAAAUUAUCACAAGUACAAGUUUGAAUUAUGAAUUAGACAUGAAUUUGCUAUUAGAUUUAAGCUUCCCAUACAUUUUCUGUUAUUUUUUUUUUAUCAAAUAUACUUUUCCUAUGAUUAAGAAUAAUCUACAGUAAAUUAAAUUAAAUGUGCCUCGAACAUCUAAUUAUAGAAUUAUAGCACGUCAGUCACAUCCCCUAGCUUUUCUCCAUCGUCUUCCUCCUUUCGAUGUGAUGACUAAAUAGGCAAUCGUUCAUUACACAAUAAAUUGUGGGUUGGAUUCGUCGUGGAAGGACCCUCGUGAUUUUUUAUUAUAUACGAAGAAAAAUACUGUUAGAUUAAUUAAUCUGAGCUCUAACUUAUACUUCCAAAACAUAAUUCCAAACACAUAAUUAACGAAGAAAAGAGACACACGUACAGAAGAAAAGGGAGGUGGAUGCUGAAAUAGAACGAUAGACAAUUCUGGUGAAGGUAAUAGAGGUUGACUGCCAGCUGCAGGUGCAUGCUAUAUAUCCUUAUUCCUCAUGCUAUUGAUUUAUUUAUAUUUAUAUAUAUGCAUGAGGUGAUACUGAUCAGCUGCAAGCGUGCGGCGCGAAUCCAAUUCUCUCAUUUCCUACAUCGUAGACUACUUCAAAUGUUCGCUGCUGCACAUUGCCAAUGAUCCCCAAGCGAUCAACUUGCUUACCAGAAAAUGCCAAGCAGUCAUGCCUGAGGAUCCCAGAUACGUUGAGAUCCAGUGUGACUCCAUCGAAGUGCAGCGCUACUUUGGGGACUGUUAUGGUCUUGUAGCCACUGAAGUCAUAACAGGUAUCAAGCAGUCCGUUAGUAGGCUUAAGAGGGUACGCCGACAUGUGCUCCCGGAACGCCGACCUCAGGGCCUCGUAGGCCGACGGCGGGAGGCGAGUGAUCGUAGUGCCGGAGUCCAAUAUCGUGCCACCGGACCUAAAAACCGAUGGCGAAAUGGCGAGCUGCUCCCCGGCCACGCUGAUUCCGAUCAGGUCAACGAAGUAAAAGCUUGGAUACUUGGAGCUGGUCUGCAUUCGAGUGUAAACGGUGUUGGAGGCGUCACUAGGUUCGCCCAGUUUUAGGAACCCCAUGUUGCUGGAAGUCGAAGGAAGGCAGUAGGAGAAGACCGAGUGGUAAAGUUGCGACGUCUGAGACACAAGCGACUGCUUGCCACGGCCGAGACCCACGAGCCCUGCGGCGUCGUGGAACAGCCCUUCGUUGUCGGUGCCGCACCCGAAGAGGAAGUGCUCGAUCACGUCGUUUGGCGACAGCGUCAGUCUGUCGUAGCUGUAGACUCCUGAACUGUUCGACCCAUCGCCGUAGGGGAUGAAAUAAGCGCAAGAGCUGGAGCAGCUGCCUCGGGGCUGACUGCAUUCCGACGAGUUGCAAGGGAUCGCGGCGUAGGAGGAUGAUUGGGAUGGGUCAAAGAUCGGCUCCUGCUGCGAGUAGCAUUUGUUGCAUGGUUUGCAUUGGAUCCAACUCAGGUCGCUCCCGGUGUCCAUCGUCACAGUCUGCUCUCGGCUGGGGGUGCCAUAGCCGACGGUGAUCACGUACUCCCCUCCUCCGAACUCCGCGGGGAUGCUUGCCAAGGAAUCAUUGAGCUGUGACUUCACGACACCCUUUAGGAGAUAAUUUACUCGAAGUUGGUCUUUAAGAAGGAUUUGUUCAGGUGAUGGCAGUUCCUUUGUCUCGAAGGGGGAGCAGGGUCCAUAUCGACUGACCAACCGUAUAGAGGUAACGUUGGAUCCUGAGAACCAUGCAUGCAUGCAUGGAAGUAUAUAUCACCACCAAUAGUCAGUAUUAAUUUUUUGUCUUUUAAGUAAUUUUACGUCAAACAAGUGCAGCAAUUUAUAAGUACAACUUCCAUCUGCUUGCUCGGUAACAUCGUGCUUCCAAUUUACAGCUUAAAGAGAUAGAGAAGGAAGUCUUAGUUAAAACUACAGAUGAUACUUUAUAACAGCAGCGCAAAUAAAACACCAAAAGUAAGAGGCAGCCGAUGUAUGAUUAACCUUUGAGCGGGGAGCAGACUGCUCCGGGAUUCAAAGAACGUCUUUGAACCUUAUGGUAGCUCUGUACUUCUCCAUUGGCAAGGUGAGAACGGUAGCUUAGGAGCAGAAACAGAACACAAGAGCUGGUUAGGAGGGCAGCUGAAGCCAUUAGUUAGCUGGGGAGAUACAAGUCUUGUGCGUAGGAGCUCUGGCUAUGCAUCCAAUUUAUAGAGAACCUUCAAUGCUACCUUCUCUCCUUGAAUCUUCAAAGCGAUGCUUUUGGUUUGGCCUCUGAUUACCACAUGCGAAAUUGAUUUAGAAGGCUGUGGACUAGUCGUUGACGUAGGACCCACUGGCUUAGUCAAGGUCAGAUUGUCCGAUCUUCGCGGAGUCACAUAAAUUUUAUCUCGUAUCCCCGUCGACGUGUGGAAGAUCCAUGGAAAUGAUAAGAUCUCCAGUCAGCUACCAGUCCGAAGCGAUGACUUGCAACGAUCCAAGGUCUUCACGUGGUGAUUUCUUCGGUUACCAGGUCCGAUGUAUCUGCCAGUAAUUAAUUCGUGGACUCAUGGCAUCCGACUGGAGUUAAUUGACAGCAAUCAUAUGGCAUGAUUCGACGUCCACAGGAUCAUUUUCCACUGUGGCUCAUGCGGAACCAGAUUGCAAAGAACAUGUCAUACCUCAGAGCUACUUCGGUCCUCCAACUACUAUGAGAAGAACUUUAGCUGGUUCACUGAUAUGAUAAGUUCUAGGCGCUGAAACAGUUGUGGGCUUAAGGAACCGACACAGGCGAUGUGAUAUUGCUGCACUUCUCUUGUUGGCCAUGUCGGAGGGUAAGGAAAAGAAGAAGAUGAGGAGGAGGAGGAGGAGGAGGAAGCAGGGUAAGACAGGGACGGCGAGGUGGCGAUUUACGAGACAGUCAAGAACUGGAUGAUUGCACCGGACAAAGUACGUCUAUAUCAUAACAGCUAAGAAACAAUGACAUGCGUUCUCGGAUUAAUUAUGGACCAUAUUAUUGAGCAAUAUCUUCUUUUGUUUCGUUUAUCAUCUUUUGCGCUUGACUAUAUCUGUGCAUUACUGAUAGCAAAUGGCCGAAAGCUGCCUGUAUUUAUAUUUCUUUCUUUUUUCGCGUUAGAUAAGGCUCAGGUACAGAAGCUAUGAAGACAAAGGGAAGGAAAAGACUGGUCACAACAAUUCGGUAAUGUAAUGUUUUUGAUAAGAAUACAAGCGAAUAGAUAUGUGUUACGUAUCGGAUUAAGCGUAUCAAAUCGAAUGAUAGAAAUCAAUAAUUUAGUUCAAACCAGCAUCAGACUGUAUAAAAAAAAAAAAGUAAUUUUUUUGAAAAAAAUUCUUCUUUUUUUUUCUGAAAAGGGAUCUCUGUUUUACUUUUUCACAAAAUGAGACUCCCUAAUUCAAAUAAUACUCAAAAUACUCACCGUCAUUGCUAAUGGUAUUUUUCUCAUCAAAUUUGUUUUGUCUAUUUUUUUAUUAGUUUCGAAUCAUUAUAGUGUUUUUAUUUGGCUCAUUUAUAAUAUUUUUCAAUAGCAUUACGGUAUUGUGAUGGUGGCAAUAAUUUUUACCCAUAUUUAGAUGAUGUUGUUAUUCAUAAAUUAUUAUUAUAGUACCUAUUUGAAUUCUAAUAUGAUAUAUUAAAUAAUUUUUAGUAUAUUUUGAUUUUAUUUGACUUGCUUAUAGUAUUUUUUUUACAACAUUAUAGGUUUUAUUAUGAUAUUAAGGAUAUUAUAAAGCUAUUGAAAAAUAUUGUAAGUAACUUCGUAUUAUGUCUCUUUGCUUAUCGUUGCUCAUAGAUUAUUACACUACCAAAUCAUGGAUGCUGAACACAUGCAUAUUUGGAGGUUUUCGAUACGCUGACGAACGAGAAAGAGCAAGGAAGAGGAGGAGGUGGUGGAGGCAACGGCGGCAGGAAAAGCAAGCAAGAGAAGCCAUUACGCUUGCAGAACUCGGUGAUCUGAGCUUGGAACGAGUGAAGGGAGUAGCUCUAAAUAGCUGUGCCUCUGCGCGUUCAAGUUUCAACGGGUGGUACAUCGCUUUCUCCCACUUGUCUUCCUCCUGUGGCCACUCGAGUCCUCUGUGGCGAUUACGUCAUGCGUCAUUGCGCAACAAAUAACGGGUUGGGUCAAGGAAGAGACCCUCGUGAUUCUUUAUGAGAUCCAAUCCACUCACGAGCAGAAAAGGAGGUGUGAUCACAUGCUGGAAGGCACUAAGAAUUAAGCCCGUAUAAUUGACUCCUGACUUGUUGUCAGACACUCUCGAGUCCCGUGGGAAGACCAUCCAAGAAGAGGCCUCAGCUUUGAAUUGGAAUCUUCUUUCUAACUUAGGCCGUGAAGCAAUGGCGACCAACCUUUGAGUUAUUCCAUAGACUAACAACUUUGUGGCUAUUUGUUUAGUAUUGGAUUAAUGGACUGAACUCAAUCGUUCCUCGCCCAAAAGAACCAUUGGCUAAUGUUACUUGAUAUGAAGGAUCCAAAGCAACCACCAAGAAAAGAAUGUCGAAAGAAGAACCACAAAGCAUUUGAGAACAAUCAUGAUCUCAAGGUGGCCUAUCACUUUCUUCUUCCUUCUUUCCUGCUAUUUCUUCUGAUAUAAUCAUGUGGAAAGACAUAAUAUAAUCCAUCUCUAAGCAGUGUGGCUCCCUGUGGAAAGACAUAAUCUAAUCCAUCUCUAAGCAGUGUGGCUCCCUGCGACAGGCUCUCUUACGUUCAUGCGUUUCUGGCUGACAUAAGUCUACGGAGACAUGAUGUUGCAGAGGUUGCAUAAUCCACCGCACCUCUCCAACAUUUCACAUGGCAAGCCCCGUUCCGUUUGUCAUGUCCUUGCUAAGCUUUUGGAAUGUUGCAGAAAACGAGCCAUGGGGUUCGUGCAAUGCUUCUCAAAUUGGAACAGUGGUGAGAAAUCUGCGGUGGCUCAGUCACUGUCGGUCGAUAGACCAUGAAAUGUUUGAAGGACUCGUAAUUCUUCCUGCAUGUGUUUAAUUUCUCCUCGGGAUAAGCCAAGCACUUGAAAAACCAUCUCCAAUGCAUAAGCUAGAUUAAGCAUCUCAUGUGGAGAUCAGGAUACCUGCAGUUUAAGGAGUGCUAAUAUCACAGACUAUACAAAUCACCCAGCUUGUGUACUAGACAUUGUCUUUCUUCUCCGAUGAGUGGUCAGACUUCCACUUCAAGUGUUGGAAGAUGUAGCCAGGGCACUUGCAAAUAACAAGUCGGGUGGUUCUUGAUGUGGAUGGUUGGAGAUGGCAUUCUCGAGGGUUGUCGAAGGAUGCAAUUUGCAUUUCGACAUGGAACAGUGAAGAUAAUGUGCUUCCUCUGGUUCAGUGGUGCCAGUGCCUCAGCUACUAGCUUUGUUGCUUGCUCAUGCCAAGAUAAGUGGGAGGAGUAGAAAAUUAGAACCAUUCAACAAAGGAGAUGAUUCUUGCAACACCACAUUUGAAGCAUGGUCAUCAUGCAUCAACCUGUGUAGUAGGUGGUGUUCUAACAUUUGCACCCCAAAAAGAAGGGUUUGACCAAUGUGCAUUGGCUGUUGCUUCAACCUCUGUUCAGAAGCAGAAAGUGUUGUGCUAGCCAUCAUUAUUAAAGAUUAUGGAUGGUAGCAUCAACCCUUUUUUGUCAGUUACAGAGAUGACUGAAUCACUAAUGCUCAGAGACUCCAGCAUGGCUGGCCAUAUGUCCAGCAAGAAAACUAUGGAGAUCAACCCAGAGAAUCCUAUCAUGGAGGAGUUGAGGAAGCGAGCAGAUGCUGACAAGAAUGACAAAUCAGUUAAGGACCUGACACUUCUGCUGUUUGAGACUGCUCUCCUCACCUCUGGUUUCUGCUUGAAUGACCCCAAUACUAUUGGCAACAGGAUCCACCGAAUGCUGAAAUUAGGUCUCAGCAUCGAUGAGGAUGAAAAGGUUGAAGACACUGACAUGCCUACGCUUGAGGAUGCUGCUGAUGCCGAAGAGAGUAAGAUGGAGGAAAUGGACUAAUCUGGAUCAAGUUGGCUUUCUGUAUUCUGCUGCUUCUCUUGCAAUUUUUUGGUGUGCUUUUCAUAUAUGCACUAACUAUGUAGACGGCCUUCAUCACCUUUUGCCAAAGAGAUCUUUAUAACUGUUGUCUAUGCAUGCAUGGAUAAUUCAUGUUCUAUGUUAACAAGUCUAUGGUUUGAAUGUCGAUUUAGCAUGGUUGACAUUUCAUUUUUAUAGUCCUGUCUUGUGGCAAGAAGCUGCAUGAAAACAGAAUCAUGUCUAAGUUUGUCUUGAUAGUAAAUGCCAUGUUCCAGAGUAAGAUUUUGCUUUCAUUAAUUCGAGUUCGAUCGAUCAUGGAGCAUUUGGUUAUCGGAGUUCUAGAUGUUUUGCUUUGAUCAUUAGCUACGCAAUGGAAGUCAUGUGUGAAUUGUGAUGAUAUAAAUAAGAAGCUGCUGAAGAAUGACUGCCAAAUUCAACUUUACGGACAAAAGAGACAGACAUACUGAUAAUAGAUUCGGAGGAACAGAAUCUAUACUAUGUGAACAUACUGACUCCGGGUGUCUUCAUUUUGUCACCCAUUGUUCUUAUUGAUGCAGAAAACAAAGAGCAGGUGGUUGCGUGGUGAAUCAAUCAGCUGCAAGCCUGCGGCACAAAUCCAAUCCUCUCGUUUCCUAGAUCAUAGACCACUUCAAACGUUUGCUGCUGCACGUUGCCGAUGAUACCGAACCUACCGCCCUUAUAUCCAGUAAAAGCCAAGCAGCCAUGCAUGAGGAUCCCAGAUAUGUCGAGAUCCAUUGUGACUCCAUCGAAGAGCAGCGCUACUUUCGGGACUGUUAUGGUCUCGUAGCCGCUGAAGUCAUAACAGGUAUCGAGUACUCGCGUAGGAGGCGCAGCGGGGUACUGGGACAUGUAGCACCGGAACGCAGACCUCAGUGCUCCGUAGGCCGACGCCGGGAGGCGAGUGAUGGUAGUGCCGGAGUCGAUGAUCGUGCCACGGGACGAGAAAACCGAUGGCGAAAUGUCCAGUUGCUGCCCACCGACACUGAUUCCGAUCAGGUCAAGGAAGUAAAAGCUUGGAUGAUUGGAGCUGGUCUGCAUUCGAGUGUAAACGGUGUUGGAGGCGUCACCAGGUUCGCCCAGUUUCAGGAACCCGGUGGAGCUGGGAGUCGAAGGAAGGCAGUAGGAGAAGACCGACUGGUAAACUUGCGACGUUUGAGACACCAGAGAGCGCUUGCCGCGGCCGAGGCCCACGAGCCCUGCGGCGUUGAGGAACAGCCUUUCGUUGUCUGUGCCGCACCCGAAGAGGAAGGGCUCGAUCACGUCGUUUGGCGACAGCGUCAGUCUGUCGUAGCUGUAGACUCCUGAACGUUUCGGCCCACUGCCGUAGUGGAUGACAUAAGUGCAAGAGCUGGAGCAGCUGCUUCGGAGCUGACUGCAGUCCGACGAGUUGCAAGGGAUCGCGGCGUAGGAGGAUGAUUGGGAUGGGUCAAAGAUCGGCUCCUUCUGCGAGUAGCAUACGUUGCGUGGUUUGCAUUUGAUCCAACUCAGGUCGCUUCCGGUGUCCAUUAUCACAGUCUGCUCUUGGCUGGGGGUGCCAUAGCCGACUGUAAUCACGUACCCCCCUCCUCCGUACUCCGCGGGGAUGCUUGCCUUGGAAUCAUCGACCUGUGGCUUGGCGGAAGGCUUCAAGGCACUUCGCCGGAGAUAGUUGACUCGAAGUUGGUCUUUCAGAAGAAUCUCUUCCAGCGAUAGCAGUUUCUUGUCGUCGAAGGGGGAGCAGGGUCCAUGCCGAUGCACCAACGGGAGGGCGGUAGCGUUAGAUCCUGAGAACGACGAAACUAUCUUUUAAGGAAACUGUAUCAAAUGGUUUCAGCAAUUCAUGGGUAGAAUUUCCAAUUUUCUACGGAGUAUGAGAUCUGCAACCCAAAGAAAAGUUUGAUGCAAGAGAGCAGCUGGGGUAUGACUGACCCUUGGAUGAGGAGCAGACAACUUCGGGACUCGAAUUAUGAUUUCGAACCACGUGGUAGCUCUGAGCGUCUUCUCCGCUAGCAAGGGAAGAACAGUGACUCAGGAACAGAACAGAAGAGCCGAUUAAGAGAGCAGCCGAAGCCAUUUGCUGGGAAGAUACAAGCCCUGGCCGCAGGAUAGCUAUGGCAAUGCAUCCAAUUUAUAGAGACUUCGAAACCACUUUCUUUGUGCUACCACAUUGGCCUCUGAUUUGAGUCAAGUAUGUGGACUAGUCGUUGACUUCGAAUUGACUGGCAUCGUCAAGUUCUUCCACACAAUCACGGACCAAUUUAUGCUUAGUUUCGCAAUCCCACUGCAAAAUCCACGAAAUAAUUUGGUUUACGACACAACGAUGAGUUCGAAAGGAAGAGUUUUGACAGUUCAAAGUCGAAUGAUUAGAGCCACAACUCGAGUGCAACAUAAAUCCUGACUGGCUCAUAAAUCGUCAACUAAUAACAACCACAACUAAAUGCUUCCUUAUGGGUGUUCUACGAGUCACCCAGGCGAGUGGAUCGGGAGCUAAUCGAGAGGGAAUUACACAGUAUACUUCCAUGUCCGCACGAACCAAAGUGCGCAAGAACAUGGACUCGUACUUCUGAAACCUGCAAUGAUAGAUCGAUAGCUCCGAUACUGUAUGUGAUGAACGGAUUGCACUAUGAGAAUAACUUCAGCUGGUCUGGUGUUGAAUCAAUGGUUGGCAGCAGCAGAGGCUAAUCAAAAGAAGAAGACGAAGAGGAGGUACAGGCAGGGGAGGUGGCCAUGAAAGAGACACACUCCCAAAUGAUUGCGAAGGACAAGCUACUCCAAGUGACAUUAAACUACUCGGCAACAAUGGCGUUUUCCAAUUAAUCAUGGACCAAUUUAGCUUUAUUUGGAGAGUAAAAUAGGAUGGAAAGUUAUCAGACUUUGUAGAUCUUUAUGCAGACUAGAAGAGUUUAUUAUUAGUAACAUAUAUUUUCUACGCAUGUUAAGAUCUAUAAAGUUGCAGAUGGUGUGAUUUAUAAUGAAAACAAUAUCACAACAGUUAUCCCUUUUAUUAAAAUUAUCACAAGUACAAGUUUGAAUUAUGAAUUAGACAUGAAUUUGCUAUUAGAUUUAAGCUUCCCAUACAUUUUAUGUUAUUAUUUGUUUUUUUGAUCAAAUAUACUUUUCUUAUGAUUAAGAAUAAUCUACAGUAAAUUAAAUUAUAUGUGCCUUCAACAGCUAGUUAUAGAAUUAUAGCAUUUCACUCACAUCCUCUAGCUUUUCUCUAUCGUCUUCCUCCUUUCGAUGUGGUGACUAAAUAGACCAUCCUUCAGAAGGACCCUCGUGAUUCUUUAUUAUAUACGAAGAAAAAUGUUGUUAGAUUAAUUAAUCUGAGCUCUAGCUUAUACUUCCAAAACAUAAUGCCAAACACAUAAUUAACCAAGAAAAGAGGCACACGUACAGAAGAACCAGAAUGGUGUAUCACAGAUAACAGUUUACUGAAAUAGAAGCAGGGAGGUGGAUGCUGAAAUAGAACGGUAGACAAUUCUGGUGAAGGUAAUAGAGGCUGACUGCCAGCUGCAGGUGCAUGCUAUAUAUCCUUAUGCCUCAUGCUAUUUAUUUAUUUAUUUAUAUUUAUAUAUAUGCAUGAGGUGAUACUGAUCAGCUGCAAGCGUUCGGCGCGAAUCCAAUUCUCUCAUUUCCUACAUCGUAGACUACUUCAUAUGUUCGCUGCUGCACAUUGCCAAUGAUCCCCAAGCCACCAACUUGAUUAGCAGAAAAUGCCAAGCAGUCAUGGAAGAGGAUCCCAGACGAGUCGACGUCCAGGGUGAUUCCAUCACCAAAUUGCAGUGCUAUGCUGGGAACUGUUAUGGUCUCGUAGCCGCUCAAGUCAUAGCAGGUAUCAAGCAGUCCAUUAGUAGGCUUAAGAGGGUACGCCGACAUGUGCUCCCGGAACGCCGACCUCAGGGCCUCGUAGGCCGACGGCGGGAGGCGAGUGAUCGUAGUGCCGGAGUCCAAGAACGUGCCACCGGACCUAAAAACCGAUGGCGAAAUGGCCAGCUGCUCCCCGGCCACGCUGAUUCCGAUCAGGUCAACGAAGUAGUAGCUUGGAUCAUUGGAGCUGGUCAGCAUUCCAGUGUAAACGGUGUUGGAGGCGUCACCAGUUUCGCCCAGUUUUAGGAACCCCGUGUUGCUGGAAGUCGAAGGAAGGCAGUAGGAGAAGACCGAGUGGUAAAGUUGCGACGUCUGAGACACAAGAGACUGCUUGUCACGGCCGAGACCCACGAGCCCUGCG
Molecule: long non-coding RNA, 12462 nt
Filed under: Musa acuminata (dwarf banana)
Lineage: Eukaryota; Viridiplantae; Streptophyta; Magnoliopsida; Zingiberales; Musaceae
Description: long non-coding RNA (MACU_LNC001079)
Source: RNAcentral